Camellia sinensis is the source of this 573-nucleotide non-coding RNA. Lineage: Eukaryota; Viridiplantae; Streptophyta; Magnoliopsida; Ericales; Theaceae. The record is from RefSeq and is a predicted model, not a curated record.
CUCAUCUCUUUGUCGAUGGUGUCUCUCUCUCUUCUCUUUCUCAUCUCAGACUGAGUUGUCUCUCACACUCUCAUCCAUCUCAAAUCAGAUCGGCGACGGUGUGCUGCUCGUCUCUCUCUCUCUCUCGGUGACACUAUUUUUGUUCCUUUGUUUCUAGAUCUUCUAUCUCAGAUCGGAUCAGUGGCUAUAGUUGUUGUCUCUCUCUCUCUCUCGAUCAGUGGAUUUAAUCUCAAAUCGAUUGUUCAUGUCAUCUACAAUGGAUUCGGUAAAUAUGUCAAGUACCAGAGACACAAAUGAUGUAAUUGACCUCUCUCAGUCUCAAUUUGAUAAAGAACAUGAUCCUCAACCUGAAACUCCUUCAGGUUCAAAGGUAUGCCCCCCCUCCUCCUAAGCCAAAAGCUAGACAAUAUUCUGAAGUUUAGGAGCAGUUUCUGAUUUAUAAGAGACAGCAUCAUAAUUUGUUUUACCAAUAAUGUUCGGGACACUAACAAUCAUAUUAACUAGACUAUUUGGUGAAUGUGAACCCUACGUCAACAUGCGGUUCUUGUAUCUUAGUUGGUUUGUUUGUUGGUA